Molecule: transfer RNA, 73 nt
Filed under: Perkinsus olseni
Lineage: Eukaryota; Perkinsozoa; Perkinsida; Perkinsidae
Description: tRNA-Met
Rfam family: tRNA
About the family: Transfer RNA (tRNA) molecules are approximately 80 nucleotides in length. Their secondary structure includes four short double-helical elements and three loops (D, anti-codon, and T loops).
Source: RNAcentral
GCGGCUUUGGCGCAGUAGGUAACGCGUAGGUCUCAUAAUCCCAAGGUCGCGAGUUCGAUCCUCGCAGGCCGCA